GUUUUUAUAGUUUAAAAAAAAAAUAUUGGUCUUGUAAACCUAAGUUAAGUUAAAACUUUAAAAACU
Molecule: transfer RNA, 66 nt
Filed under: Sinna extrema
Lineage: Eukaryota; Metazoa; Arthropoda; Insecta; Lepidoptera; Nolidae
Description: tRNA-Thr
Rfam family: tRNA
About the family: Transfer RNA (tRNA) molecules are approximately 80 nucleotides in length. Their secondary structure includes four short double-helical elements and three loops (D, anti-codon, and T loops).
Source: RNAcentral